RNAcentral lists this unclassified non-coding RNA (343 nucleotides) under soil metagenome. RNAcentral's name for it is "partial contains 5.8S ribosomal RNA, internal transcribed spacer 2, and large subunit ribosomal RNA". The stretch from base 2 to 121 matches the Rfam family "5.8S ribosomal RNA", at positions 35 to 154 of the family's 154-position model. The record is from RNAcentral.
GGAUGAAGAACGUAGCGAAAUGCGAUAAGUAAUGUGAAUUGCAGAAUUCAGUGAAUCAUCGAAUCUUUGAACGCACAUUGCGGCCAUAGGUAUUCCUUUGGCCAUGCCUGUUCGAGCGUCAUUUACACCCUCAAGCCUAGCUUGGUGUUGGGCGUCUGUCCCGCCGUUUUCGCGCGCGGACUCGCCUCAAAGUCAUUGGCGGCGGUCGUGCCGGCCCCCUCGCGCAGCACAUUUGCGCUUCUCGGAGGCCCGGCGGAUCCGCGCUCCAGCAAGACCUUUCACGACUUGACCUCGGAUCAGGUAGGGAUACCCGCUGAACUUAAGCAUAUCAAUAAGCGGAGGA